CUAGCCUGGGACCCUCCAUAUGCUGUAGGUGUGGCCCUAAAAAAGAGAGAAAGACAAAAAAAAUAAUAAUAUGUAGUGUGUGAAAUGUCCAGAACAGGGAAGAUAGGAGGCAGGAAGUAGAUCAGUGAUUGCUUAGAACUGGGGGUGUGGGGAAGAAAGAAUAGGAAGAUGAGAGAUAAAGGGUACAGGGUUUCUUCCUUUUAAAAAAUCUUCAUCUUUUAACCCCCUUCACCCAUUUUUCCCACAUCCUACCUCCUGCCUCUGUCAACCACCAGUCCAUUCUCUGUAUAUGUAAGUUUUGUUGUUGUUGUUGUUGUUUUUAAAGAUUCUACAUGUAGGAGAGAUCACACUCUAAUUUGUCUUCCUCAAUCUGACUUAUUUCACUUAGCAUAAUGCCCUCGAGUCCCAUCAUGUUUCUGCAAAUGGCAAGGUUUCAUUCUAUUUUCUGGCUGAAUAAUAUUCUAUUGGAGAUAUAUAAACCACAAUUUCUUUAUCCAUUUAUCUGUCGAUGGAUGCUUAGAUUGUUUCCAGUAUCUUGGCUAUUGUAAAUAAAUGCUGCAGUGAACAGGGAGGUGCAUAUAUCCUUUGGAGGUGAUUUUGUUUUCUUUGGAUAAACACCCAGAAGUGGAAUUGCUGGAUCAUACGUAGUUGUAGUUGUAGUUGUAGUUUUUUGAGGAUCCUCCAUACUGUUCUCCAUUGUGGCUGCACCAACCCAUUCCCACCAAUAGUGCACAAGCGUUCCCUUUUCUCUACAUCCUCACCCACACUUGUUAUUUUUUUGUCUUUUUGAUAAUAGACAUUCGUACAGGUGUGAGGGGUGGUAGCUGUCUUAAACACCGGGACAAGAAAGAUUUUAAAGCCAAACAUGGGCUUCAUGAGUGAUGUGUGAUGAUUGAUCAGCAACGUCUGCCAUGGAUGAAGACUGAGGCAGUGGAAAUGCAAGUACUGACCUGCAUCAGUGCUACUCAAAGUGUGAUUUGCAGGUGGAUGUAGGCCUACAGAUAUUUGUUUCCCAUGAAGAAAUCAGUAUAGAAAGGGUGAGUUAGCAUUUUGAAACUUUUAUAGCAAUUUGAUAAUUCCUGUAUUUUACUAAAUAUUGAUCUGUGAUGGAUUGGAAAUAAAAUUAAAAUCUGGCCCUUUACCAGAGAUAGUUUGAGAAGCACUGAUCUGGAGCACUGUAUGUGACCCCAUUACUUCCUGUAAAAGACUUUGAAGUGCCCUGGACUUGGAAAUCAUAUGAAUGCAGCCAAAGUCCUAUACAUGUCAUCAUUUAGAUGGACUUGUUGAUUGAGCACAGGUCUUUGCCAGCUUUCUUCCUCUUGCCAGGCAAAAGGAUUAAGGUAAUAACUACUCAGAGAUUGCUAGAAAUGUCUUCCUGGCCUUCUCCACUCAUUUAUACUUUCCAUUUAUUCCAUUCCAGGAAAGCCUUCACUCAUAUUGCUUUCUUCCAGUGGAGAGUCAGAGUGAGGCCAGCAAGGUGGUUAUGUCAUGGAACAGCCUGGAGCUGAUGACAAAGUAAAGUCCAGCAUCAGCUGCUGAACUAGCCUGGGUGGCCACUGAGGUCAAACAUGAACUCAUCCAUUCUUUUGCCCAUUCAUGCCUCCUUUCUCCUUCAUUCUGUCCUUCAGCAACUCCACGUGCAAUGCCAACUAUGAGCAUCAAAGUUCCAGGUCCUGGAGAUACAGUGGUGACCAAGACAGAUAAAUUCUCUGCUUUCAUGAAACUGACAGUUCAGGAGGGGAGACCAAUAUUAAAUCAAUAAUGUGAUGAGUGGUGAUACAAGUCCUGAUUCCAUAACUAACAACAUUCAGCACAAGUGUUGAAAGGAUUUUGGGAUGUAAAUAUGAUCCCUUCAUCUUGUACACGAGGAAACAGAGGCCCCAGGAGGAGAAGGGACUGUGGACUGAAAAACAAUGCACAACCUAAAAGCGGAGAAUUACGCUUAAUUUGGCCAACUUUCUGAGGACUUCAAGCCUGGGAGGCAACCUCUCAGAUAGCUCUGACUGACUGUUCUGAAGAGGUAAAGGAGGAGGCAGGAUAUAUUGGAGAUUUUGCAGCAAGGACCAUGUAGUUAGAACAUCAAAAGAUUACUGCUAAUUGAAGAAGAUCAAACAUCUAGUGCUUUCCUAAGCAUGGGAAGAUGCAAAAGUCUGGGCUCACUGAAAUCAUUCCUUUGAUAUGCAUCUCAGCUCUCUGGGGUCAAUAUCCUCUUCUUUCCCAUUGUGUGUCCCCCUCAGGGCGCACUGUUGAAGGUGGCUGCAGUGGCUAAGGGCUUAGCAGUGGGCAGCCCAUUAGUUGCCAUCCUGAGUUCCUCAGGGCUCACCAUAGGGGGCGACUCUAGUGGCCUGGCAGCUGCAAUAUUCCUUGUUUACCCAGGUGACAGACAACAUUUUUCAUCCACAGGAUCAUCUGACCCAGUUCAAAAUAGUCAGUCUGGUUCCAUGUGCAUCCUAGAAGUAGUCCUGGCUGGCAGUGGUUCCCCUGAUUCUUGCUCUGCAGAAUCCUCAGAUCCUAACAGAGGCCCAUCUCUGGCUUCCUGGGUAGGCUUCUCACCACCAGUGUUCCCUGUUCCUGAGAAUCUAGCCCUGUGAGGUAGGCUCUGCUGCAGACCUUAUAGAAAAACAGAGAUUUUUAAGCAACUUGGAGGGGGCACAUUAAGGACAUUGCUGCUAGGUGACAAAGCUGGCUGAUGUUGCUAAGGAGGAGAGGCCCCAUGGAGGGAGAUCCCAGCCACCCAGCCCAAAACGCACACGUACAGACUGCUGUGCUAAGCACCAGGAUAUAGCAGUGAAGUAGACACUGCUCUUGAGGCUCAAAGGCCCACUGAAUAAGGAUUUAUAACUGAACUACAUUAGAAGAUAAGUCCAGGGUGCUGGGCAAACAUGUACCAGGAGACCUGAACUUCAUCUGGAAGGUCACGGAAGGCCUUGCUGGGGAAGUUCCAUUCAAGCUCAAGCCUGGAAGAUAAACCUAAAAGACCCAAGUGUGCCAGUAAACAACCUCAUGAAAAGUGGUGUCCAAACCUCAGCUUUCUUUCCCAGCACUAGCCUGGAAGGUGAGAUUGAAGGUAUUACAGGGAGGCAGAGUGAAGGAGAGAGGAAGAAAAACGCAUUUAUUUGUAUGAAUGGGAAAAUGAAACAGAAAGGCGGCAAGUGCUUUUUUCAGCCAGGGAAGACAAUGGGUCCUGACAAGUGUGUUCUCUUUCAUGCAGAACGAGCUUAGGGGCACUUCUCACCAGGUGAGGCCAGAAGGCUCCCAUGAAACCAAAGGAGACUCAGUAGAGCAUGAAGAGGGUCAGGUACCCUAAUGGGAUGACAUUCUGGUGGCCUGGUGUGGUGGGUGGAGCUGUCUGGACUUGCUACCCUAUGGUUCCUGUUAAAAUGAGGUCUUAGAGCCAGCUUCCAAGAGGGCCUUGAGAGGAAGCAGACAAAGACCCCUGCUGUACCAACAAUAGAAACAAAAUGCUGAAGGAGGUGGGGAGCAUGCUUGCUUCAGCAGCACAUAUAUUAAAGUUGGAAUGCUACAGAGAUGAUUAGCAUGGCCUAUCCAAGGAUGACACACAAAUUUGUGAUGCCUUCCAUAUUUUUUUAACACCCCACUUUCAGCAAUGGAAAGAUCAUCCAGACAGAUAAUCAAUAAACACAGUCCUUAAAUGACACAAAAGACCAGACAGACUUAAUUGAUAAUUAUGGAACAUUUCAUCUGAAAGCAGCAGAAUACACUUUCUUUUCUAGUGCACAUGGAGCAUUCUCCAGGAUAGGUCACAUCUUGGGCAACAAAUCAAGCAUCAGUAAACUUAAGAAAAUUGAAAUCAUAUCAAGCAUCUUUUCCAACCACAACACUAUAAGACUAGAAACCAACUGCAAAAAAAAAAAAAAAGAAACCCAUGGAGGC
This is a non-coding RNA of Sus scrofa (pig), 3894 nucleotides long. NCBI's taxonomy places the organism in Eukaryota, Metazoa, Chordata, Mammalia, Artiodactyla, Suidae. The record is from RefSeq and is a predicted model, not a curated record.